UUGUUUAGAUGCAUCUGCGGUGGGAUCAUGGCCGGGCACUGUUCCCCAGCUUUCUGGCAGCUGGGGAGAAAACGAAGAAGCGAUAUAUGGACAUACUUUGUUUACAUACAAGUGGAAAACAAAACGGAAUGUGUCGUGGAAAAAGACGGGGAGAAAUGCGGCCACAAAAUAACGGGGAAAAACACGACAAACUUAAAAAGGCAUUUCGAGCUUCCAUGGUGAAAUCGAGAUUCAAGAUAGAGCAUCAGUGAAGCAAGUCCCACCCUAGAAGAUGGACAAGCCAACUAGUGCUCAGGAUUUCUUUGCCACAAGGAGGUGCAGGACUGUAUAUUGCUGUGAAGCCUGAGAGUACAAAAGUGACAGGAGCAAAAAAUACACAAAAUUGCUUUGGGUUUAGAGUGUGAAAAUGUUUAAAAAAAAAAAAAAAACCACAACGCUGGCCUCAGGAACAACAUACAUGUGCUCAGCUCUCUCGUGUCCACACACCCUGCAUACAUGCAUCAUUACUAGAUGUCAACAUGUGUAGAAGGGCAGCAAACCGAAAUGUGCACAUCUGAGGAAUAGUUUGAAGACGUGAUUGUGUGAGUGUUGGCACCCAGCAGACAGCAGGGUGAUACUGGAGGUGUGGGCGACGGCCUCACAGUUUGUGUGAUGUGCUCUGACACACAGAUGGCAGCUGACACAACACAGAUAGACUCUGUCCUCCAACACCCACUCUCACUGCUCCUCCCUCUUCAAAAUGGAUGUUCUCACUCCUGCUCACUGCUACAUGCCUCCAUCAUCUGACACCAUAAACAUGCAGACAGACAGGCACAUUCAUGCAAAAAAUAUUAUCGCUGUCUCCUUUCCCUGGUUUCCUUUCUUUACUCGUUUGCGUCCUCACAGUGCCUCAGUGUGACUGAAGCAUUUUGGAUGAGAUACAAGCAAAUAUGCAAAGAGGAAGUCACAGAUGAAUGAGCAGUCGCUAUCGGCAGCUUCCUUUGUCAGAACAGUCCACAUGCGAAGCACACGUUUGAAUUGUGCUCGAAAAUGAAAGAUCAGCAGCAAAUUCUGCCCCGUUUUUCCCCUCUACCUGGACCCUACAGAGACGUUUAUGCCGUGCGACUGAGAUUUUACCCCCACCUCGCUGCUAAUGAAUAUUCUUGGCAAAUGUGAAAAAUGUUAAUGCAAGCAAAUGAUGCCUAUAUCUGUGUGCAGAUUGUUUUGAAUGCCUUCCAGGCUGGAGCUGAUUCACACACACUAGCCCUGUUUUCCUCCAGCCAAAUCACAACCUCUCAGUUCAUUACUUCUGACAGGAAACAGAGGGCUAUGAAGGAUCGACGCUCUCACACACACAUGCACUUCUUCUCUCCUCAUGCCGGUUCCAGUGGCAUUACAGGAACCAAACUACCGUGUGGAUGUCUUCAGAUCUUCUGCUCUGAUGACAACAGCUUUGGGCUAAAUGCUAACAUUAGCAUCUCUCUUUCUUACUUAAACACACACUAGCACAGGACAGUUUCAGAUCUCUUCUUGUCCUUCCUAUCCAUAACCUGAAUUACCGAACUAUAAAGUUAACUUGACCUAUCACACAUCUCCCUGUGCACCGACUAUGAUCUUUAAGGGACAAGUACUGGCUCCUGUAGUAUUCCUAUAAUAUUUUAGCAGGCCAUUUCUAUGAUCAUUCAGAAACAUCUUUGCUGCUGAAAAUUCAUCCCACAUUUUCUGGACAGAUGCUCAGAUCUCUCUAUAUAUAUACGGUCAGUGAAAACUGUUACAGGAGGCACGUACGACAGGCUUGUUAGCCCUCCAGCUUUUGACAUGAGUUCACCACCUUUGCUUGACUCCUGGCAUUAAUGUGGAUGUUACUUUGACAUCUACCACCCACCUCGGCAUCAUUUCAAACCAAGCGCACACCCCCUAUGGCAGGGAAACGUCGAAAAGGUGUUGACCUGGCCUCCAAACUCCCCACAUCCCAAUGGAAGCCCAACCUUGCAACCCACAGGACCCAAAAGAUCUGCUGCCAACGUCCCGGUGCCUAACACCACAGGACACCAAAGGUCGUGUAGUCAUGACCUGACCGGUCAGUGCUUUUGUUUUGAAAGUACGAAGGGGAUCUACACAGUUUUAGCCAGGUGAUUUUAACCCUCUGAACCCCAACAUGCACAAGUGGGUUGGAAAGUCAUGUUAUCUUUUAAAGAAAUCACCAAAAGUCACACUAUUUUUCAGAGCCGGAAAUUGUAAAAACAGAAAGAAUUGUCAUAUUUUCAUGGGAAAUGGCCAAACCUAAGCUUAAAGUUAAUGUAUUUCAUCAAAAUCACUUAAUUCUACAUGUCUUGUUUGAAAUUUUGCAAAAAAAAUUGACACUUUUACCAAAUUCUGCAUGAAACUAAAAAAUUCUACACUCCUUGUUGCUACCAAGAAGCCUGUAGUGACUAGUAACAACCAAGUGGCAAAAUUCAUAUACUUUUCAGCUGAACUGCAGGCAGUGUAGCAGUUAAGAGACAAGUAUGUAAAUAAAUUAAAAAUAUAACUUGUACAAUUUUUAUAGUAUGUAGAGCAACCAUAUUUUUUCCAGCAUUUGCGGACACUUAGAAAAAUCAGUUUUGGGAAAUAGAAAAUUGAAGAAAUGCAUCUUUUUUGUAUGAUUUAUGGCAUUUAAACAGUGUCAUACAAAAUGCAUUUUUGAGUUCUUUCUACUUCUAGCCAUGGUUGUGCUGCUUCCAUAGAGGUGCAUAACUUUAUAUUGCAGUAAGUAAAAAUGUGACAGGAGCAAAAAAACAUACAGAAACUGCUGUGAGUUCAGAAGGUUAGUGUUGUUGCUGAUGAGUGUGAUUUGCAUUUAAUCAUGCGCAAAAUUCUCCUGUUAGUGUUUCAAGUAUUAGUUCACACGUCAAAGCGUUGGACAAAGUGACUUUAGAGUUUAUUUAGGUGUCAAACAAAAAGUUGAGAGAUCAUCUACGCUUGUUACAAUGCAUCCCUCAAUCCAUACUGGUGGAGAUGUUUCGCUAAACAAAGCCAACCUCUCAACACCCUGAAAAACUUUGAUGUGGUUACAAACUGACAGAUUUUCUUUUAAAAACGUGGCAGAUUUGCACACUGUUUUUUUUGCUCUGCGCACUGAAGUGCACACAUGUAUCUGAGGGUGAGUGCAGGCAGCAGGAAGAGAAUGCAUGAGAGAGACGGCGAGAUAGUGUUCAUGCGAGUGAGAUAGAUAGCCGGGGUGUUGCAGGGAUUAAUGUGAAUUUGUAACUUAAGGGCAUGAGUUGCUGCUCGAUAGAAUCUAGAGCAUCAGCUCCUUUCUGCAGGCGAUGAAUUUGUUGCUUUUUUUUUUUUUUUUUUUUUUUUACCAAACUUCUAUUGCAUUCCAGUGCACACACUCACUUUUUAAAGGUUAUACGCUGUGGACCUGUAUGCUGUAAGCUUGGUUAACAACUUGAAUGAAUGCAGGCUCUGUUAGUGUGGUUUUUUCUGCCUAUUUGUGCACCAUCUUCCACCGCUGAAUGCUUUUAACAGUAAGUGUGCAGGAUACUGUCGCUAUUGUUAAACAGUCAGUGUUUGUAUGCCAUUCCAGUGUGGCUGUAACUGCAGCAUGAUGCACUCUUCUGCCUCUUAAUGGAUCUUUUUGUCAGUGCUGGGGUGUAUAGAGUCGGAGUGGUUUUGUUAUCUGAGCGAGGCGGUUUUUUUUCUUCCCUUUUUCCUCCCCUCUCUCUUUUCUCACUCUAUAAAUGCUGUAGUUUGUAUCUCAGGGGAAAUGAUACAUGUCAGUAUCUCCAUGACUGACAGCCCAUCCAUUACGGUUUAUCGCAUGUGUGUGAGAAAGAGAGACAAGUAUGGAGGGAAGCCAGGUUCAUCAUUCACACUGCAGUUAACCGUAUUAGUGAAGUGGCUGCGAUGCUGAAGGCGCCUGCUUGAUGAUUAGAUUCUAUCAUUUGUGUGUUUUUUGGAGACAGUUGGUCUGUGUGGUCAAAGAUGGAGGUUUUGUGGUCAAGCAUCAUGGUUGUAGAUACAGCUUGAAUAUGGGCAUCUAACACUUAAUUUUCUGCAUUCUUGUGAUUUUUUUGCACAAAUUUGUGCCUUUUCUGCAUCUCUUUACGGUAGAUUUAUGAAGAAAAUUCAGGCAUAAUGAGUAAAAAUAAUCCAUUCAUCCAUAGUUUUGUUGGGGACAUAGAGUAUUUAUAAAAGGCCUGUUGAUUUGUGGACUCCUGUUCUGAAGCGUUGAGUUUUGCAGUUGGUCGUCGCCAUCUUGUCCUUUUGGAACUAGACCUAAUAAAUAAGCGGUGAAUCUGACGGAGCACACUGAUAUAAUACUAAUCCAUCAAUCACAAGCUGUCUCGGCCUUGAAACAGACCCUGCUUUAAUGUUUACUUCACACUAAAUGGGGCCUUGAUUUACAAAGUGAAUCCCUUAUUUCGGGCUGGGCGAUGCAGCUGAGAAAUGUGUCAUGAUAAAAUCUUUCAUUUUGGUUGAUAAUUUUUAACCAUUUGUAAUUUUAAUAUUAAGAUUCAUUUUGGAUUUUAGCACUUUAAAUUGAAUGUAACCACCUUAGCCUAUUUAUCACCAAGGUAAUGCUUUUGAUGUUAACACAACAAUGAAAAACACACAGAAACAAAAAUGAAAAAGGAAAACCGAAUGAUCUCACCUUAAAGCACAUUAGAUAAAAAUGCAAUUAAAGCCUGAAGGGCGACCAGGGUGAAGCUUCUGCAUCACCCUGAUGUUAUAAUUCAGAGUGGCUGGACUACACCGGGUGUCAUCGGAAAGGGAUCCUGCACCGACCUUUGUUCACCCCGACAUGAAGUCCUUCAGCCCUUAGAGAAGGCUGCAGGGAGUCUGUUGUUUAGGCAGCGGUGUAGGAUGUUUUCAUGCUGUAAAGCUCAUCCCAUAAGAGCAACCGCUGUCCUCAAGACCUGCAGCUUCCACCAGAGGAGGUUCAUGAGACCCAGGCAGUGGCAAACUAGCGCACCUUAGGAGACCUGUACAGAAACUAUGGGGAAACGUAGACAGGGAGAAGGAGCUCCAUUAUCAAGUGAUAUGGUAGACUGUUAUGAGCCACGGAGGAGGCAAGUUUGUUUUGUUCAUGCAGCAGAACUUUGUAUUUUUUUUGUGUGUUUUCAUGGCGGGUUGCAUUAAUGCAUUUCAGUGAAACUAUCAAAGAAGUUUCAAACUAAUUUUGAUUGCUAGAACCCAUCACUGUAGUUUUAUCCCCCAGGACAAAUCAUGUUGGACUGAAAAAGUCUUCACACUAUUAAUUGAGACAGUAAAGUGACUAUUAAAACCUAGUGGAAGGUAUGCUAAUUUUCUCAUCGCUGCAACCAGCUUAUGUCACUUAUGUAUUGCCUUUACUUUUCAAACCCAGAGGCUAUAUUCAUGUUUUUUAUAGAAUCUAUGAUUAGGAAGGACAAAUACAUGUGUUCUUACCAUUAAAGGGGAAGCAUUUUCUCUGAAAUCAGUGGCUUUCAUUGGCAUCUAGAGGCAGGAAAAGGGCUAAAUACAAACUGUCAGCAUUGCAACAACAUGCAGCAGGUGUUUUAUUCUUGCCUGACCUCCUGUAUCACAUUAUAUCACACUUACUGAUGGAUGCUGGAAUCUUUUCCAUGUUGCUCCAUAAUCAGAAGGGAAAAAAAAGGCAAACACACACAAGGCAAAUCCAGCGGCAGCCUGAUCACGCCUGACACUUUACUGCAUCCAUUAAUUUUUAUGGUCUGUGACUCAGAUGUAUGUAUCCUAGUUAAUGUUACAAAGUGAAAGCCCGAGGGCCGGUGCGGCUUCUUAUGUGCCACAUUUUCUCAGCUUGAAUGCAAAGACGUCAUCUCAGAGUGACAUAUUCUUAGCUGACGAAGCCCACGUCCAGACACAUGUUCCCGAUUUUCAGAAUGACAUUAAAAUCACAUUGGUUUGCCAGUUUUCUGUUGACAGGCAGCGUCACGGCAGUUUUAAAGGAGGAACAUCUAAAAUACUGUGUUUUACAAAGCAGUGGUGGAAAGCAAGUCAGUAUAUUUACUCAAAUAAUGUACUUUAUUGUACAUUUGAGGUACUUCGCUCAAAAUAUUCUUCUUCUUUAGUCUGCUCGUAUUUCAGAUGUCUGAGUUGUAACAGCUCCAUCAGCCCCCCCAAACCGAUCGCUUGGUUUUGUUUCAAUAAAUGCUCAAAUGGUUCAAUAUCUCACCAAAAACCAAAGAUGAUCUGUUCCUAUAUAUAACUGAAUAUAAAGUAGAAGCUCCACCUGCAGAAGCAACCACACUAAGAUGCAGUCGACACCGAUGCUUCACUAUUAAUAAUCUAUUGAUGGCACAUUUAGUAAUAUAUCAGUCAGAGGGACCAAAAUGUGACUUUCACUACAAUACUUUAACUGCAUUUUGCUGCUAAAUUAAGUCCUUUUACAAAAGGAGGAUUUUUCCAAAUCUGUAGAUUAUUUUCCCUUUUAUAUGUUGGUAUUUUUACCUAAGUAAAGGAUCUGAAUGCCUUGAAAAGACCCAAAAAAACAAUAAUCAGAGUAAUGAGUACUGUCUGUGUAUAAAGUACCUUCCUCUUUGUUCCAUUUGACAUGUCACUUAAUUAUCCGAACAUGUUGUUUAUUUUUAGUUGAUUCCACCAACACCCUCCUGCUGCCGUAAACAGUGACAAGGACAAAUAAUGUGUAUUAAUCUGCCUCCAGAAAUAGUUCCCGACAAAUGUUCUAUUUACUUCUGUUUGAGCAACGUUUGCUGGAAACUGGCUGUGUUUAGAAAAGUUGCCUCAUCGACAGAAACAGGUCACAUAUUUGUAGGGAGUCGCUUCUUCUGCAAGAACGGCACAUGUGGUCGAGAAGUUGGAAAGGAAUGACUGUCCAAUAGGAGAAAAAUUAUAACACCACUUUCAUGUUUGUACAGCAAUUAAACUAUUGAAAUCUACUCUACAGCACCAGGUAGAUACAUCAGUAAUUAUGCUAAAAUAUAUAAUAUAUAAUAUAUAUGGGGCAAUAUAGACAUUGCUGCUGGAGUUUGAACCAGUCCACUAACCUCAAGCUUGCAAAUAGAUGUGCAAUUGAGAUAAUUUGCUCCCACACUUUAAUUUAACACAUAAAUAAACCUGUUAUUUAUAUACAGGCAGGUGACAAAUUAAAGAAAAAAACAGCAUGAUGUCAGACACGUUUCCAGUGGGUGUUGGACUCUGCCAGGGCUGCCGCUUGUCUCCGAUUCUGUUUGUGGUCUUCAUGGAUAGGAUCUCGAGGUGCAGCUGGGGGGAGGAGGGUGUCCAGUUUGGGGAUCUCAGGAUCGCGUCUCUGCUUUUUGCAAAUGAUGUGACUCUGUUGGAUUCCUCAGACCGUUACCUUCAGCAGCACUGGAGUGAUUUGCAGUUUAGUGUGAAACGGCGGGGAUGCGGAUCAGGACCUCCAAGUCCAAGGCCAUGGUUCUCUGUCGGAAACCGAUGGCUCGCUCCCUCCGGGUUGAGGGGGAGUUGCUUCUCCAAGCGAAGGAGUUCCAGUAUCUCAGGAUCUUGUUCACGAGUGAUGGGAAAAUGGAGCGAGAGAUCUACAGGUGGAUUGGUGCGGCAUCAGCAGUAAUGCGGGCAUUGUACCAGACCGUUGUGGUGAAGAGGGAGCUCAGCCGCAAAGUGAAGCUCUCAACUUACCUGUCCAUCUAUGUUCCAACCCUCGUCUAUGGUCACGAGCUCUGGGUAGUGACCGAAAGAAUGAAAUCGCGGGUGCAAGCGGCCAAAAUGAGCUUCCUCUGUAGGGUAGCUGGGCUCAGCCUUAGAGAUAGGGUGAGAAGCUCAGACAUCCGGAGGGAGUUUGGAGUACAGCCGCUGCUCCUUCACGUCGAAAGGUGGUGGUUUGGACACCUGAAUCGGAUACUUCCGGGGAGACUUCCUUUGGAGGUUUUCCAAACGCAUCUGACUGGGAGGAGACUCUGGGGCAGACCCAGAACCCGCUGGAGGGAUUAUGUAUCUCAUCUGACCUGAGAACGCCUCGGGAUCUCCCAGGAAGAGCUGGAAAAUGUCGCCAAGGGUAGGGGCAUUUGGAAUGACCUGCUUCGUCUGCUGACUCUGCGACCCGACCCCAGAUAAGUGGAAGAAGAUGGAUGGAUAGAUGGAUGGAUGGAUGGAUGGAUGGAUGGAUGGAUGGAUGGAUGGAUGGAUGGAUAGAUAAAGUGUCCUAUUAAGGUGUUGUGCUGCCAGAACAGCUUCAAACUAUUGAUUUUUCAAUUAUCUGCAACUCUACUAGAGGGGUGAACUCAAUUUUUCCAAAAGAUAUUCUUUUAUUUGAUGUUUUGAAGAUGGUGCUGGAGAGUACUGGAUAACACGUUGGUCUCCUUUAGGUGUUCAGUCUGUUAAAACCUGCUGACUGUGAAGGUCUUAAUAUGUGAUUCACACAAUUUUAAUCAAACCAUUCAGUGACCCCUCACGCCUUUGGGAUGGAGGCAUUCUCAUCUUGGAACAACUCUGUAUUGAUUUGUAGUGACUCUUGCAUCUAAAGGGACAAAUGGACCCAAACCACAGCAGCAAAAUGCCACCAGAUCUCCUCACUGUAGGGGUCUAGCAUUCAGUGAAGGAUGAAUGAUCAGACUCUUUGUUCCACUGAUCUCUGCAGAUCAGUGGUUUUUGCACCUCUGGCCUCUCAAAUGUGCAUUUGUCUUUAUAAUUUGAGGUUUAUGUACUCCAGCGCUGCUACAAAAACCCUCUCUAGAGUUGUAAUGCCAGGAUUACUUGGAGAUCUGUAGUCAUUUGGAAUAAAUGCAAAGGUCACUUGCCAUAUUUUACCAAACCCAGGGGAGCUUGGAUUGUAUUAGUGAAUUGGCAUCUUUGUGAUUUGUGCUCAGGUUUGCAUUUUCUGCAGCUUUCAUUUGUCUCUUUCUUGCUCAAGAGUUAUUAAAGCUGCUUUGGCAAUUAUGAAUGAAAUUUUAGAGAUUUUUUUGAUGCAAAAUCUUGAGGCUUGUGUAGCCGAUUCACAGAAAGCUCAGAUUCAAAAUAUACUUUUAAUGGAUGACAUGUGUUGGAGCAAAAUCUCAUUCUACCAGGAAAACAGACUAUGUGUGAGAUAGCUCCUGCGCAUUCGUUGAAUGAAGCGAUAGGAGAAGGUACUUAGGUCUCAUUAAACAUGUUUAUUUAACAGCAGAUUGAAUAUAGGACAGAGCUCUGGAUCCAAACUUCUAUCCCUGACAACAACAGAGUUCUUGUCAGUUCACGAAGUCUACACACUAUUCUUCCCCUGACCCAGCCUUAUAUCAAGUUUCACAGGUGCGGAAGCAUUCAGGGUGUCUUUCUGCUGGUUGGUUGUCUUCUGCGCAUCUGACCCCCUACUUUGCAUAUGAGCAGCCAUCUUCUUUUCCCAAUCUGGAUGCUCUGAACCUCACAGCCCUAAAGAUGGUUCCCCUCUCUUUGUGGGGGAGGAUGAAACGUCAGCAGUUGUUCUUAUCUGUGAAACAGAGUCUCCAUCAUAACUUUUCACCUAGUUCUUUUCCACUCUUGCAUACCUCCCGUAUUCAGUAUUUUUCCAUCUUCAUAGGCAGUGUAAAACAUCAUCAUAAACAGUGUAAAACAUUAGAAAUAUGAUUCUAUAAAAGCAAGCAAUUAGUCUAAAACAUAUGAUUCUAUAAAAGCAAGCCAUUAGUAUAAAAACAGUAUAAGAACUCCAUUUAAAAAUAUCAAAAAUCCCACACAUGGCAGUAUGGAACAUUUUGCAGGUCAAAAGCUAUUAUAUUGCAGCCUAUUAAUAUAAUAUCUUGAGAUAGAUGAAACAUAGAAUUAAGUGGUAAUUUCAAAAUCAUAUGAGAUCUACAUGUAAUAUUAGUCCUAUACAACCUGGCCUUAAGUAAUUUUCAUGGAACUGUCAGUCACCUGAGGAAGAAUGGUUCAUUUUUUUUCUUACAUAUUGUACUAAUACACAUCAAACUACAUAAUGGAACAGUGGUUUCUCUAAUUUCUCCACCAAGGAACGGCGGAGUUAUGUGACGUUCGGCGUACGUUUGUCUGUGAGUCUGUCUGUAUGUCUGUCUGUCCGUGUGAAACAUUACUCAAAAACAGAGUAACGGAUUUGGAUGAAAUUUUCAGUGGAAGUCAGAAAUGACAUAAGGUCAUUAAAUGCUCACAGUGAUGCGGAUUAUAGUCUGGAUCCACGGCUUUGUUAAGGAUUUCCCAUUGUCAGAUAUAGCUGCCAGCACAGCGUCACUGUAACCAUGACAACAAGUGAACACUGUUUCAGUUACCUGCUGAUGAUCACAUGAUUGCGAUCCUACUACAAAUGACUGUGAUUUAUCAGUUGGAAAUGAUACAAGGAACAAAUGAUUAAACUGUGGGGUGUUUCUGAGUCCCAUCAAUUCCUGCCGCCCGCUACAUAUUUAGGUCACUCAAUGUAGCAAACCCCAGCCAGACAAUGGAAACCCCGUGCCAUAUGAUGAAAUAAUGUAAAGGAGGCCAUGAAAAACACUAUGGUAAGGUUUUCUUUGAAAAAAAAAAAUCAGCAUGAAUUUUGGCGCAAAAAAAACGCCUUACUAUACUAUGUCGAAAAAAAAUGCCAUUUUUCAAACAUGUUGUAAAAACGUGCCAUAUGAUGAAAUAAUGUAAAGGAGGCCGUGAAAAACACUCCAGAAAGGUUUUCUUUGAAAAAAAAAUCAUCAUGAAUUUUGGCGCAAAAAAAACGCCUUACUAUACUAUGUCGAAAAAAAAUGCCAUUUUUCAAACAUGUUGUAAAAACGUGCCAUAUGAUGAAAUAAUGUAAAGGAGGCCGUGAAAAACACUCCAGAAAGGUUUUCUUUGGAAAAAAAAUCAUCAUGAAUUUUGGCGCAAAAAAACGCCUUACUAUACUAUGUCGAAAAAAAAAUUGCAUUUUUCAAACAUGUUGUGAAAACCUGCCAAAUGAUGAAAUAAUGUAAAGGAGGCCGUGAAAAACACUCCAGAAAGGUUUUCUUUGAAAAAAAAAUCAUCAUGAAUUUUGGCGCAAAAAAAACGCCUUACUAUACUAUGUCGAAAAAAAAU
Molecule: long non-coding RNA, 10929 nt
Organism: Amphiprion ocellaris (clown anemonefish)
Lineage: Eukaryota; Metazoa; Chordata; Actinopteri; Pomacentridae
Exons: 3
Source: RefSeq, a predicted model, not a curated record